Molecule: transfer RNA, 76 nt
Filed under: Candidatus Alectryobacillus merdavium
Lineage: Bacteria; Bacillati; Bacillota; Bacilli
Description: tRNA-Thr
Rfam family: tRNA
About the family: Transfer RNA (tRNA) molecules are approximately 80 nucleotides in length. Their secondary structure includes four short double-helical elements and three loops (D, anti-codon, and T loops).
Source: RNAcentral
GCCUAAUUAGCUUAGCUGGUAGAGCAACUCAUUCGUAAUGAGUAGGUCGUAAGUUCGAAUCUUAUAUUAGGCACCA